UCAGAAAGGUCUACAGUAAGAGGUAGUUGAGAACCAAGCCGGCAGUCUCCCAGGAACAGACAACACUCGAAAUGGGUGACAUUUGUUGUACAACCAAUAAAUUAUUAUCAACUGAUGUUGAUAAACACUCAAAAAAAAUGAAAGCAGCCAUGAGAAGAAGCCCAUCCUUUACCACAUGAACAAGACAUCAAAGAUACUGGAACUCCUGGUUCUUGGGCAUUUGGACUGGGACUGAAUUAUGCCACCAGCUUCCCUGGGUCGCCAGCUGGCAGACAGCAGAUCAUGGCAUACCUCUGCCUCCAUAAUCGCUGUCCUCUACGUUGAUGCCAUCUUCUGUCCCCACAUGGAGCUUCAUGGGAACACCUACAAUCAGAAAAUGAUCUACUUUCCCAAAGCUAAAAACCAAAAGUUUCCCCCCUGAGACACUGUGCCUACUACUAAAGCUAUCAUGUAGGGUUUGUAAUAUACCAACUGGCUUAGCCUGGCUGCAGAAGUUGAGAACCCAAAAUAACACAUACCCACUGAAAAUCAGACCCCAGCCUAGCCUGGCUCCCUAUAAACAACAAACUAUUUGUGAGUAUCUCAAUUUGUUUUCUGUCAGAGUCCAACUGGGCUUUCUUCAUACAAUCUCUAGUUUAAAAGCUUUUCAUUUGAAUCCAGAGAGAAAAACA
This is a long non-coding RNA of Equus caballus (horse), 671 nucleotides long. RefSeq lists it as uncharacterized. The record is from RefSeq and is a predicted model, not a curated record. NCBI's taxonomy places the organism in Eukaryota, Metazoa, Chordata, Mammalia, Perissodactyla, Equidae.